Molecule: long non-coding RNA, 7095 nt
Organism: Anolis carolinensis (green anole)
Lineage: Eukaryota; Metazoa; Chordata; Lepidosauria; Squamata; Anolidae
Exons: 2
Source: RefSeq, a predicted model, not a curated record
UUUUGCAUAAUGAAGUUAUUAUAUUAUCUCGUUUCCUAAUUUUCAGAUAAAAAUAGAGUAUUGUUAAAUUCAAACUAGAUGUAAUUAAUUGUAUAGAAUGUUCCAAAAUGAUGGACCCAUAUUACUCUAAAAGUUACAAAUAGUGUAAUGAGUAAUCAGGUUAUCAGUUUAUCAAACUUUAUUAACCAUUCUUAGUCAGAAACAAAUCUAAAAAAUAAUUCUGCCAAUGGCGAAUAUCUUAGGAGCCCUUACGUUGCAGGGUCACCAUCUGGCAAAUGAGUAAGGCUGGGGGCUAUUUGUGCACUGAGAGAGGCAUCUGGUGGAAAUCAUUUGAAACUUUAUGCCCCCCCCCCCCCACUUUCAAGUGGUAAGUUUAAUUCAUGGGCAGUUCAUGCUGGCAGAGACAUAGCAAUUUCAAAUCAAAUCAAUCUUUCUGAAACAUCUCAUAUUCUGAAAUUGCUUUAGAUCAGUGGUUCUCAACCUGUGGGUCCCCAGAUGUUUUGACCUUCAACUCCCAGAAAUCCUAACAGGCGGUGAACUGGCUGAGAUUUCUUGGAGUUUUAGGCCAAAAUACCAGGAGACCUACAGGUUGAGAACCACUGCUUUAGAUCUUCAUUAUCAUCACCCCAAAUAUUGAAUGAAUUAUGGAAUUGCUUUGGCAAAAACUGAGUUUGUUACUUUAUUAAUUGUUAGAAUAAGAUUCCUUGUAUAAAAUCUUCCAUUAAAAGAUUUCCUAUUUCUGCUGCCAUGGGGUAGGUACCCUAUGGGCAACCCUUUAAUUUACCAAUAGUAUUAUUGUUUCUCAAAUAUAAGCGACGAUGACAGAAAAGGGAAGGUAACAAUCCAGCAGGACUGAACUUUUUUGUGCCUCACUGGGCUGGCUGACUCCAUCCUGCUGCUGUUGGGGGACAGUCACCUCUGACCCCAUAUUUUCUGAUGUCUGUAUAGAUCAGGCAUAGGUAAACUUUGGCCCUCCAGGUGUUUUGGACUUCAACUCCCACAAUUUCUAACAGCUGGUAGGAGCAGAAGUUGGUCCAAAUCACCUAGAAGGCCAAAGUUUGCCCAUGCCUGGUAUAGAUGAACCCUAAGGGAAGACAUAGAGCAAUUGAGUCCUGGGAUUUGCUUUGAUUGGAUUUUUUCCCGUUUUGUCUCUUAUAUAGCCCAGAGAUGUCCCUUCUUCAACUGCAAUGCUUAGAAUUUUGGAAUUACAUUCAAGUGGAUUACUUUCACAAAUCUUAUAAGCAGAGUGGUCUGCUUUCUCCUUUAUAAACUGACAGAUCUUAUAUCACAAUAACACCUCCCUUAUCUGCUUAUUUUAAAACUAUAAAAGUAUCUGCUGGAAGGUCUUGAACAGCUUUCCUUUGCCUCCUACUCAUAUUAUUAUUAUUUUGUUUUUUUCUAGCUCAUGUGAGACCAAGCCUUCAAAAACUGUUCUGGAAGGAUCUGUGGGAGAGGGUGGCAUAAAUCUAGAUGGCAUUUAAAAUCAGUAUCUGUCAUUUAAUGGUAAUUGUAUUGUAUCCCCAAGUAGUGUCUCAAUAUAUUUUUGAAGAACUGAAAUAGAUCUAAUCCGACCUGUACUGGAUCAUCUUUGAGUGUGAGAACAUAAGAACACUAUUUUCCUAAUACCAGUUUUAUAUAACAGCAAUGUCCUUGAAGACCAAGUUUGUUACUGCUUUUUCUUCUGUGUCACUUUGCAUUUCUUGUGACCAGAUAUUGCUCUGCUGUUGUUGAGUCUGCUCUGCUGUUGUCUUGCACUUCCACUACAAUUCUGGUGUAGCAACCGUGAUUCAUUACUGUGAAUCAUUGUCUAUUCCCCACCUAAAUCUUACUCUUUUCUGAUCUUAUAUGAAGAAGACAAACCUUUUCUUGUUUUUGUAUAUAACCAGGGGUGUUCUGUUUGUAAUUAUAUUAAUCUCUAAGGAUUUUUUUAUACUUAAAAACCUAAAGAUCUUCAUAGCAUUUUUCAGUUCUGUUUCCAGGUUUGCCAAUUUUGCCUCAACCUGCUUUCUUACAUGUUCUGUUUUCUACUUCAGUGCUGAUUUUAUUUCUGUAUUAACCUUAGAGGCUGUCUCUGUGAGUACUAUAAUCAAAUCUUGGCAGAUUUGAUUAAAAUAGCACACCACUUUUCCAUUAAAUCAUCAUUACCUUGAAAUGUACCUCAAAAUUCUCAGCCCUUAAGGAAUCCGCUAUUCUUGGUAGUAUUUAAGCAGUGUUCAGUCAUGUCAUUACAGUCUCUAAAAUAAAUUACAAUAUUCUACAUAACACAUCACAUACACAUAGCUUUAUGCAGAAAUUUCUGGAGUUGUGUAAUAUAGGGCAAUUUUAUCCAGUUUAGAAAACUUAUUCUGACGUCUUAAUCCUUAAAUUGAACAAAGAUGCUAUGAUGAGGGGAAAUCCUCAAAAAUUGGCAGAUAGACUGAAUCAUAGCUAUUCCUAAACCAGAAUGUGAUCCAUAUAAAGUCACUAUCUACAUGGCAGUAACUGUCUAAUAAUCAGGACUUUAAAAUCUUUAUUUUCCUCUUAUUUUCCAACACAUUAAAGCUUUUAUUGAUAAAUAUACACAUCUGGACCAAAUGGGUUUCAUUCCUAAUAGGCUGCUUUCGGACACAGUGUGGAGGGUUCUUAACACCAUUCAUAACUAUAAUCAGAUGCGUAAAGAGCUAACCCAUUCUUUCCUCGGAUGCCCUUAAGGCUUUUGACAGAGUGGUCAGAUCCUUCUAGGUUCUUGGAGAAAAUAGAAUUUAAAAUUAAUAGAAUCAUAGAGCUGGAGAAGACCACUAAGCCAUCCAGCCCAACUUCCUACCAUGUAGGAGGACACAAUAAAAGCUCCCCCAACAGAUAGCCAGCCAGCCAGUGCUCAAAAACCUCCAGAGAAGGUGGCUUCACAACACUCCAAGGCAGUAGAUUCCACUGUCGCACAGCUCUUACCAUUACGAAGUUCUUUCUAAUGUUUAAGUGGAAUCUGUUUUCAUGCAAUUUCAUGCAAUUGCUCCAUGUCCUGGUCUCCGGAACAGCGCAAAACAAGUUUAUCCCCUCCUCAAUGUGAAAUCUUUUCAAAUAUUUAAACAUAUCUAGCAUGUCCGCUCUCAGCCCUGUUUUAUUUUGGUCAUCCUUCUCGAGACACUUUCGAGCUUGUCAAAAUCUUCCUUGAAUUGUGGUGCCCAGAACUGGACAUAGUAUUCUAGGUGCGGCUUGGCCAAAUUGAUAUUAGGGAAUUAAUUACUUUUACAUGCUUGUUUUUUUAAAAAAUCUAUAAUUGAUAUAAAGCCUACUUUCACACUAGUCACUCAGACUCUAAAAUCACCCAACCUGAAGAAGAUUCAAGACAGAGUUCAAUUGUUUGCUGUAGCAGAAAGAUCAAGGGGACCAUGGAAAGAUUUUAGGGAGUCCUUGAACUUGAAUUGAAAAAAAUAAACUUGUCUUUAUUUUUGCUGGCCUGUAACUGAAAAUUAGCUAAAAUUUUGAGAACGCAUAUUGUUGUAAUGAAGACAUACAUUUUGCCUACAAUGUUUUUCUUUUCUUUUCUUAUCUGUUCCAAUCUAUUCUAAAAAGGAUAAUUGAUAUGCUGACAAAGAAUGCUAGAAAGUUUUAUUUCACAAAGAAAAAGACUUAGCUUUUCAGGUAACAUUAGAUACUUACUUGUAUCUAAAGAAGCACUAGCAUUAUGCAAUUUAUACAGAUAUUCAGCUGCUUGUGAAGUUAAACAAGUUAUUCAACAAAUAAGUAAUGAUUGAUAUGCAUAUUGGACUAACAUGACUAACAUUAUUCAUCUGUGGCAAAGAGUAAGUCACAGGAAAGUCUGAGUUAAGCUCCUUAAUGCACUGCAGCAGAUCCGUGUAGACCAGAUCCAGGGCGAAAUUGACUCAUGCAACAGAGGUCUGCCUUUGCUGGAAUAUUUCAUAAAUUAGGAACAAAGGGAUGAUGGAGCACUCGAAAAUUCCCCAAGGACAAGGCUGGCUAGCAGAGGGCUGUCCCGUUGAUAUGGGUAAUUGAUUAUCUCCACUUCUAACUGUCAUGUUCCCUUUUUUCACCUCCUAUGCCUCUGGAGUGCUGAUGCGCAUCUCUCCCAGAAAUUGGGGGGGGGGGGGGGGAAACAUACAGAGUAGUUUGAGGCCAAGAUCCAUAGUUAAUGUAAUCACCGUACUGGCUUCAAACCAGCUCCAGACCUGUCAUUCUAAUCACUUGUGCAGUGAAACCAGUUCCUCCCAAAACAGUUCCAAGCAUCAGGUAGAUGGAUCAUCAGAAAACAAUAAAAAAUCAAUUGAAAAGGGAUUUCAUCUCAUGCUGGAGAAAAUGGGCCAAGCUAUGUAUUCCUUUACUACUUUACAUUAAACUAGUCUUCUUAGAAAAGUAAUUCAGCAAUAAGAAAUCCAACAUGAGUACGAAGGGGACAGGGAAAACAAAUAUUUUUAAUUGAUAAACAAAUAAGGAAGAUGUUAGUUUAUUGAUGCUUAGAUCAUAGGCUAUUCACAAACAAACAAACAGAUACAUAAACAUGCAACAAUAUAAAAGUACUGGAUAAAACAAUUGACAUAAAUAUUCAAUAUUAUUAAAAUGCAACACAAUACAUCAGAUAUGAAGCAUCAAUAUUAAAAUUUAUACUAGAUAAAAUUCAUUUACCUAACAGCAUAAGCAUAACAAUCUUCUGCAAUAUAAAUGUUUAUUGCUACCAAGGUGAAAGGAGAAAUCUUGCAAACUACCAUAGAAUUGGGUUGCUGUGAGGUUUUCAGGCUGUAUGGGUAUGUUCCACCAGAAUUCUCUCAUAACGUUUUGCCUGCAUCUGUGACUGGCAUCUGGCACAUUGUUAGAAUGUACAUUGUACAGAAUAGAUCCCAAGAAUUUGGAUCUUGAUUCUGAACGUUAUGUGCAGAAAAGCAAAUGUGGCAAAUUUCUGGGUCCCAAAAAUACACAAAAGUAGGGCCAGAUGGAGAAUACCUGCCAACAGUCAUGAUUAAGCAUGAAGAUAACUGUUGUAAAAGCUGUCCUGGAUUUUAGAAAUUUAAGCUUAUCUAGGUAAAUAGCCCAUUGAUUUUUGAAUCUGAAAAUCUGAAUUGAUUGCCGGUUGUAUACCAUGGUUAAAAUAUAUUCUCAAAGCUUAUCUUUUGAGUUUGAUAGAAAAAUUGUCAAGUGGAGUAGGCUAUCACUGCAGCAAUUUGAUAUCUCGAACUUCACAUAAUUAAGGAAAUGGUAUUGGAAGAAAUUAUUACUAAAUAUUAGAGAUGGCAAUGAAGAACCUCCUUUUAGAAAUACUACUCCUGUUAAAAAAUACCAGUUCUACUAUUCCAUAGACCUGGUUUGCCUAAAACAAGUUCAAAAACAUCUAGAAAGACAAGAUUUCCCAACCCUUAAUAAAAAGCAAAGAAAGAGACUUGAUGAACCAAUUACAAUGAUGGGAGUCAUCAAGGAACUGGAGUAGAAAACAGACAAGGAACCAGUUCUAUGUAGAUUGAUGGCACAAUAUUGUAAGAUUUUACAACAUCAAUUAAUUGUGCUUUUACAGUAAACCGUGAAUACCAUGUUAAGGACUAAAGUAUCUGAUUCUCUGUGACAGGCUAAUGAAACUAAUUUAUAAAGAAGACUGCAACCUAAAAGAUAAAAAAAACUAUUGGCCAAUAUCUCUGUUCAAUAACAACUAUAAAAUAGAAAUCUCUACUACAUGAGGAUCAAAUAGGUUUUCUAUAAAAGGUAUCUAAGUGAAAAUACCAGAUAUGUUGUGGAUAUUUUGCAACAGUAUGAGACCAAAGCAAGCAGGUUUGAUAUUUUCGAAAAUAAAUGUGUUUAAGACUUUCUUGUGGACUGUUUUGUAAAAGAUAAAAUUCAGGAAAAAAAACUAAGAAUUCAUCAGAUUUAUGCUAACCAACAUGCUCGGAUUUUCAUGAAUAAAGAUGUGACUAAACCAGGGGCCAUCAAACUUUUUAAGUGGAGGGCCGGUUCACAGUACUUCAGAAUGCUGGGCGGCCGGACUAUGAUAAAAUAGUCCAAAAUUAGGAUUGUUGUGGUUGUGUGCCUUCAAGUCAUUUCAGACUUAAGUCAACCCUAAGUCUAAACUGUAGGUCUGGGGCCAGGUAAAUGACCUUGGCGGGCCACAUCUGGCUCACGGGCCUUAGUUUGGGGACCCCUGGACUAAACCGUGCAAAAUAUAGAAAACCAAUUUGAGAGACGGCCAUAUCCCAUGCUGUUUGUUGGAAGCGACUAUCUGCCUUCACUCUGACAUGGUGUUCCUACAGUUCUGCUUCAGAUAACGGCAAUGCUGACCUUUGGAUUGGCUGACAGCUCUGUUUGAUUCUUGGACUCUAGGACUGGCUUUUGACUUUUCUGUGUAUUCUUCUCACAAGCAAACGUUUCAGGCAAGUUUGUUUCCAGAGACUGUUUAAUUGAUCGGCAUUACCUAGAAAUUGAAGGAAAUUGCAUCCUUCUUUCCAACUGUGUGUUCAGUGAAACCUGAAAAAAGCUAGAAAGUUGGGCACCUCAUGUAUUUAUUUCUCUGGGGAAUCAAAUUAGAUUAAAUCCAGCAAUAUAGAAGAUUUCUUUUGGAUAAUCUGGAGGGCUUUAGGGAUGGAGGACAACAGUUUUCCUCCUAUACUGAAAACUCAGCUUUAGGAAGCUUAAGGUGCCAGUAGAACAUCUCAAAUAUGGGUCCAAUGCUGAACAGCUCUUACUGUCAUUUCAGGUUAAGGCCAAUAGUUGAACAGAUUCUACCAGGCACUUCAGAACAUGCAAAAUAUUUGCAGUCUAUGAAUCUAGGGUUUUCUAUGGAGAAGUUGGGCAACUUGGAAGGUGCUGAACAGACUGCACUCUGGCACCACAAGAUGCAGAGCCAACCUUAAGAAAUGGGGCUACAAAGUGGACUGUAGAGAAGAGCAAACCACAGAACACCUACUGCAAUGCAUUCUGAGCCCUGCUACAUGCACAAUGGAGGAACUUCUAACAGCAACACCAGAGACACUCCAAGUGGCCAGCUACUGGGCAAAAGACAUUUAAUAUUAAUGCCAAGUUUUUUUCUUUCUUAAAAAAAUCUCUAUGUUUGCAAAUCCAUUACAACUUGUACCCUUGGUUCACUUCUGACACAAGAAAUAAAUAUGGAGAAGUUUUUUU